CCUACGGGUGGCAGCAGUGGGGAAUAUUGGACAAUGGGGGCAACCCUGAUCCAGCCAUGCCGCGUGUGUGAAGAAGGCCCUCGGGUUGUAAAGCACUUUCAGUGAGGAAGAACGCCUGGUGGUUAAUACCCAUCAGGAAAGACAUCACUCACGGAAGAAGCACCGGCUAACUCCGUGCCAGCAGCCGCGGUAAUACGGAGGGUGCGAGCGUUAAUCGGAAUUACUGGGCGUAAAGCGCGCGUAGGUGGCUUGAUAAGCCGGUUGUGAAAGCCCCGGGCUCAACCUGGGAACGGCAUCCGGAACUGUCAAGCUAGAGUGCAGGAGAGGAAGGUAGAAUUCCCGGUGUAGCGGUGAAAUGCGUAGAGAUCGGGAGGAAUACCAGUGGCGAAGGCGGCCUUCUGGACUGACACUGACACUGAGGUGCGAAAGCGUGGGUAGCAAACAGGAUUAGAUACCCUGGUAGUC
Molecule: ribosomal RNA, 465 nt
Filed under: Vreelandella stevensii
Lineage: Bacteria; Pseudomonadati; Pseudomonadota; Gammaproteobacteria; Oceanospirillales; Halomonadaceae
Description: partial 16S ribosomal RNA
Rfam family: Bacterial small subunit ribosomal RNA
Source: RNAcentral